CAUGCAAGUCUACUUGAUCCUUCGGGUGAAGGUGGCGGACGGGUGAGUAACGCGUAAAGAACUUGCCUUACAGACUGGGACAACAUUUGGAAACGAAUGCUAAUACCGGAUAUUAUGAUUGGGUCGCAUGAUCUGGUUAUGAAAGCUAUAUGCGCUGUGAGAGAGCUUUGCGUCCCAUUAGUUAGUUGGUGAGGUAACGGCUCACCAAGACGAUGAUGGGUAGCCGGCCUGAGAGGGUGAACGGCCACAAGGGGACUGAGACACGGCCCUUACUCCUACGGGAGGCAGCAGUGGGGAAUAUUGGACAAUGGACCAAAAGUCUGAUCCAGCAAUUCUGUGUGCACGAUGAAGUUUUUCGGAAUGUAAAGUGCUUUCAGUUGGGAAGAAGUCAGUGACGGUACCAACAGAAGAAGCGACGGCUAAAUACGUGCCAGCAG
Molecule: ribosomal RNA, 437 nt
Filed under: Fusobacterium sp. HFU1
Lineage: Bacteria; Fusobacteriati; Fusobacteriota; Fusobacteriia; Fusobacteriales; Fusobacteriaceae
Description: bacterial SSU rRNA
Rfam family: Bacterial small subunit ribosomal RNA
Source: RNAcentral